RNAcentral lists this ribosomal RNA (253 nucleotides) under uncultured bacterium. Its description in RNAcentral is "partial 16S ribosomal RNA". It matches the Rfam family "Bacterial small subunit ribosomal RNA", at positions 524 to 776 of the family's 1533-position model. The record is from RNAcentral.
UACGGAGGGUGCAAGCAUUGCUCGGAAUUACUGGGCGUAAAGCGCGCGCAGGCGGUCCUUUAAGUCUGAUGUGAAAGCCCACGGCUCAACCGUGGAGGGUCAUUGGAAACUGGGGGACUUGAGUGCAGAAGAGGAAAGCGGAAUUCCACGUGUAGCGGUGAAAUGCGUAGAGAUGUGGAGGAACACCAGUGGCGAAGGCGGCUUUCUGGUCUGUAACUGACGCUGAGGCGCGAAAGCGUGGGGAGCAAACAGG